CCGAGCGCACGACCGCUCGUCACCUACUUGGACACGCGUCACUGGCAACGGUGGGGUGUGAAGCUCCGAUGACAAUGUACCCCCGAGAAUCUCGGUGGCCCUCGCACGCGAGUGUAGGGUCAGAUACUGCCAGCAGCGAAGGUGGUAAAGGGG
Molecule: non-coding RNA, 153 nt
Filed under: Massilia yuzhufengensis
Lineage: Bacteria; Pseudomonadati; Pseudomonadota; Betaproteobacteria; Burkholderiales; Oxalobacteraceae
Source: RNAcentral